Mastomys coucha (southern multimammate mouse) is the source of this 132-nucleotide small nucleolar RNA. RefSeq annotates it as small nucleolar RNA SNORA17. NCBI's taxonomy places the organism in Eukaryota, Metazoa, Chordata, Mammalia, Rodentia, Muridae. The record is from RefSeq and is a predicted model, not a curated record. The transcript has a single exon.
AUUGCCUCUAGAGUCAUUACAUGUGUGGCUGCUGAGUCACAUGUAUAUUAGUAGGUAGCAGAAAGAAGAAAGGGUACAUCUGUGAUGAGUAAGUUGACCUAUGGUCAUCUAAAUGAUUAAUAGCCUAACUUU